GGGAGAUUCAGCGUGACAUAGAGUGUGACAAGGCUGGCUCCUUUGAAUUCAGGUAGAACAGAAACAGAAAGAAAGAGUGAGGGAACGUUGUGGUGGAAGAAUGUAGCAGGGUUCGCCACCACACCCUGCUGGAGCGACGUGGAGCUUUAGGUGUUUUCAUUCAAUAUACACUCACAACGCCCAGUCCGGGAAUCGAAACCGCGAUCCUACGACCACAAGUUCG
Molecule: long non-coding RNA, 223 nt
Organism: Octopus sinensis (East Asian common octopus)
Lineage: Eukaryota; Metazoa; Mollusca; Cephalopoda; Octopoda; Octopodidae
Exons: 3
Source: RefSeq, a predicted model, not a curated record